GGCAAAUGAAUCCUGGUCGCUCGUUCACCUCGCCACAGUAAAAUUCUCCACCCACUUUUCACUCCAGCCGUUGGAUCCAGUCGUUCUUUUUCCACUCGUUCAGCUUCCAAGAGAGUCCAUGACUUGUAGGACCAAAUACGUGCGGGGUCCAGCGGUCAGUGCCAGGCAAAGGCGCCGGUCUGCGUCACCUUCCUUCUCAACGCGUGGUGAAAACCUAGACACCCAAUCCGUCGCUUUGCGCUCCUCGUCCCCAAUCCCCGCCUCCUCUCCUCGCCCGAAUCAGCCGCCUCCUCUCCUCCCCCAAUCAGCCGCCUCCUCUCAUCAUCCCAAUCGGCGACCUCCGUCGGAAUGGAACGGAGCGGCAGCAAACUGGGCAGGCGGCGGCGACCAGAUGCGCCGAGCGAGACCAGAGACGGGCCGGAGGCGGCUGGAUGCGGGAGCCGCCGCCGGCAGGGAGGACGCCGCGGUUGGAAGCGGCGGCGGCCUGCAGCGCGCACCGAGCGAUGGGACGCCUAGACGCGGCAGCAGCGAUGGAAGGCAGCGCCGAGAUCCCGAGCCGCCACCGUCGCAUCUCUCUCCCUCUACCUACCCAGCGUCGGAGGUGGAGGAGCAGCGAGGGGCGACGCUGCUCCUCGCUGGUGGAGGAGCAGCGACGAGCGGCUCUUUGGGUGGCUUUGGGUACGGGGGUGCUGGGGGCAGGCCGACCAGUGGCAGCCGUGCUCCCUCAGCCAUGCCCUUACUCGUCGUUGUCCGCUGUCUUCUACACGAGAUCCAGGAAUCUGGUGAAUGGCCAUGAAGUGCACGUGGAUGUGGGACUCUACAUAGACCUUGGCUGCCUCCCCUGCCGUCCUCCCCUUUCUCGGUCGGUGAGGUUUUGUGUAUGAAGCAUUCUUAGUUGGUCAGUAGCUUCUACUGAAGGACAUCAUGAGGCUCAGACCUCCCAAGCAUCAGAUCAAAACACUACAAGGAUAGUAGGAAUAUUGCAAUGAAGUCGAUUGCUUGAAGAUGAUGGUGCAUCUCUAAACACCAUGUGUGAAAAUCUGGGAAAGAAAAGAAGUGGAAAAAUCUCACGGAAGAGUUUCAUGAAGGAGAACUAGGUUGUACUCUAUUCAGGAGCCAUUGUACAUGCUUUAUGUUGGCUUUGGUGGUUCCAAAUGAAUUAUGUUGGAAGUCGUGUAAGAUUAAGAGUACUGAAUUGAUGAAUUAGUGCUUCAAUGUUCUACGUCGUGAAGACGCUGCAUGGAGUGGUGAGGGACAGUCGAACAGUGAUCGUGUCGAUCCAUCAGCCAAGCAGCAAGGUCUUUGAGCUUUUUGAUCAGUCGUGGUGUUCUCUCAGGGUGGAAACAGUGUACUUUGGGCAGACCCGUGAGGCUUAUGAGUUCUUUCCCAAGCUACCUUCCCAUGUCCACCGCUCCAUGGAUUCAGCUAUGUGCAGCACUCAAAGUUGCUGUGCAAGGUGAAGAUCGAUCUGCAGAUCGCGGAAUUCAUGCUGAUGGUGGUCCCCUGAUCCCUGCUUACCAAGGAGGUUAAGCUGACAUGAUUCAGCCCAAAAUGGGUUGGCAUUUUCUUCUGCUUACCUUACUUAAAGAGGGUAGAAGCUGGUCAUGUUGGCCACUGGAAGUCUGAUAGAGUGAAGAAUAAAAAGGCUGGAAAUUCCAUUGAUAAUGUGGUAACAGAAGAAUUGGAGGUGCCUUCUGGUAUUAAUAAAUCUGGCAGAAAGGUUUUUGCUUAUGUGGCCAUGUGGGUAGGUUUGGACCGGCUUGGUUUUCUGCUAAGGCCCUUGAUAUAGACUAACAUAGUGCAUUCAUCAACUAUGAGGUCCACAGAGAAGAUGUUAUAGGUCAGAAUGUCGGUGAUUCUGAAUCAACACAUGUUCUCAUGAGCACGAAUACCUCCGACACUGCAAAGAGGGUCAAUGCUCUGAGAGAUAACAGGCCAUGUUCUUGUGUUCACUUAUUCUCGCCUUAAAUUCUUUUCGUGGGCUAAUGUUUGUGCAUAAUGAUGGGGGAAACCAACAAAAAAUGCACGAAUGUUGAUCUCAAACUUGUGCUUUGGGGACAAAGCGAUAUUGAAUUCAACAAUAAACUUAUGUAUGAUAAUGGCCAGAGAUUUUCUGUUGUUGGGAUCUCUGUUGGUGUUCUUAAAUCUUACAACAAUGAUGAGAUUCUCAGUGGAGGUUCUGUUUGGUGAUGGUACCUCAAUGUAGAUGAUGAGAUUCUCGGUGGAGGCUGGGUGAUGACUUCACAAGAAUUCAGUGGAUUUCCACAGGCGCUAAAACCUUUGUCACGACUCGCAACAGAGGUGACCUUCCGCGUAAGAGAGUUGCUGAACAACCUGGACCCAUGGGAAACAAAAGGUUGGAUGGAGCAUCGAGCAUUUCUUCUUUGAGAUGAUUAACAGAUCGUCAUGUGCAUUACUGUCCGCAGCUUUACUCUAAAUUGGUUACCCUUUGAACACUAAAGUGCAUCCUUCAUAUUUUCUCCGAGGUUCGUUUUCUUGGAUAACCAUGUGUAUGUUCCUGGAUAGCCAUGGAUCAUAUUUUCUCAUAGUUGGUUCCUCUGUUUACUCAUAAUAGUGUAGCCUUCUAGAUUAUGUACGAGUUCUGUAUAGAGUUACUAAUGUAGUUCUUGUGUACAACUUUGAUGCAGCCAAAAGAGUCCAGUGAGGAAUGGACUAUUUUUGCUAUUAUAUAUUUGCCUUGUGCUGUGAAUGAGGAAAUGGAGUUAUUAAUCCAAGUAUCAUUUUUCAUCAGGUGUUCAUGGACAGUUGUUCAUGCUCUUCUCAGAUUAUGGGCAUAUGAGCUCACACGGUUUCAGUUAUAGUGUCAUCAGACCGUGGCAGUAGGUAGUGUCAUGUUAAUGUGAGACUUUGAGAUAGAUCUAGGGAACUAAAUAAAUGUAGACUUUCACAGGAGAUGAAUAAAUUGUGGUUAGUGUAUAAGUGACACAAUUUCGGCUAGAGAAAAAAGGGAACCUUCUUAUAUAUAUAAUAUGCUUAACGAAUUAUUUUCCCCACGAUGAUUCAAAAUUGAGCUAUGCAUGUUUCCAGUCCUUCUCACUAUGUUAUUCGUGCAUUCUAGAUGUAUUACUUCAGUAUUCAGGGUGAGGUUACUUCUAACUAACCAAAGAAAGAGAGAUGGUUAUGUUCUAUUCAAGUUUUUUCUGCAUUCUAUUUUUGUGAAACAAUUACCAGAAGAAGAUUUAUUCCUAUAAAAUAAAGUAUGUUAUUACGAUGGGUUCUGUGACUAUUUGAGUUAGUUUUACAUUGAAAGUUAUUUACCUUGGUGCAAAAUUUCGCUGUGGAUUGUUUUAUUCGAUGAAAAGUGACCAGUAGCACCGGGACAUCUCUAAUGCCCACUGCCAUUUGAUGAAACACAGGUAUAAAAUCUCUUUUCGCUAUUCCAAAGUUCAUCUUCAGGUACAUUAGAACUACCUCAUGGUGCUAAUAUCUGUUUAGUUGAAUGAUAAGGUUAGCUACAGCCUGAGCGUACAAUUCAAUAGUUUAGCAAAUGACAAGGGGGUGUGUGUGUAUAUUUCUUGCAUUAUUUUGCUUUGAUUUUACUUCAUGGUUUGAUGAAGUUAUUAUCAUUUUAGCUCUGUUUAUUAUCAGUAAAUUUUCACGCCUUACUGAAUAUACCAAUUGACUUCACGCUCUGAUAUUUCCUGUUGGGUUAUUCUCUACAUGGCGGAUUGGUGGUUUGCAAUUACCAAUUGAUGAUUUUUAGAAGGUCUGUGAUCAAAUUCCCUUCCAUAGAGAUGUUGAGUGUACCAGAAAAUAUGGCAUGAUAGAACUGCAUGAAGUAAAUCAGAGAGAGCAAAAUAAAAAUGUAUAUGCACUUCGCUGCUCCCUGUGCCACUCUCGAAAUUUAGUGAAAGGAUUCUCCAAAAAGAGAAUUAGCUACAGAAUUAGGCGAACCAUGAGUAUCCAUGUGUGGGGACAUAUCUGUACUUUCGAUGCAGGUCUAGCAUUUGAAAAAUCAUCUAACACCCUUUUAGACCGGUCUGUAUAUUUUACUGUAAGUGCAUGCCUUUGCUUCUCGAAUUUGAACUGUUAAACUAGAGAUAUGAAAUUUGAAAAAUCAUCUAACACUAUUUGAUAGCUUUUUUGGUCCUUUCUCAGUUGAAAUAUGAAAUAUAUUUGCAUGAUGCUGAUGCAAAAUGAUAUUUACUUGACUACACUGUUGAAAUUGACAUGAACUACACUUCUCCACUUAGGCUGUAGCCAUAUAUGAGUCCUAUUAAAUUCUUGAAAGUUGUCCGACUAAGCCAGGUUCUCAUUCAUGUUUUAUGUUACUCUUAUUUUUAUUUUGAAUGUGCAUGCAUGGUAUGCUUACGAACUGUUUAUUGGUACUGGAUUCUUUAAACAUAAUAAAUUAUCAGUAGUGUACUAAUGACAAUUGAUAAUAUGCUUUACCACCCAUUUGAAAUGCAAAUGAUCAUGUCUUAUUUUCUACAAUGGUAUCUGAUGUAGGCCUCUUAAUAUGGUAGUAGUAUCAUAUAAAUAUCUAUUUACACAAUUUAUGCUUCUUUUGUUCUUGGCUAACACAAUAAUAACAUGAUAUACCUCUGAUUUUAUAGGAAAUUCGGUCUUUGUGCUAUCCAAUUCUUCCUGGAUGUUUCUCCUAUGUUGCCAUGUCCAUGACUAUGCAGAUUAUUGUGUUACUUUUGUUGAGUUGUGCGGGUAUUGUCCGUGUGCAGCUAGCUUUUAGUAGACUCAUGCCUAGCCUAGGAGACAGACAUUUGUAAAUUUUGGGCCUGGUGGGUUGUCCAAUUAUUCAUAAGAAUGUUUAGAUGUCCUUGUUGAAUGCUUUAGUUCCUUUAUUCUUGAAAUGCCAAAAAAAUGUAAAAUAAAGAAACCAAUACCUGUCGUUCAAGAUCAUCUCGGUUUCUUUGUCUCGGAAAGAAAAAAACCAUAUUUCCAUAUA
Long non-coding RNA from Lolium perenne, 4924 nucleotides. RefSeq lists it as uncharacterized. The record is from RefSeq and is a predicted model, not a curated record. NCBI's taxonomy places the organism in Eukaryota, Viridiplantae, Streptophyta, Magnoliopsida, Poales, Poaceae.